GAUGAACGCUGGCGGCGUGCCUAAUACAUGCAAGUCGAGCAAACAGACGAGGAGCUUGCUCCUCUGACGUUAGCGGCGGACGGGUGAGUAACACGUGGAUAACCUACCUAUAAGACUGGGAUAACUUCGGGAAACCGGAGCUAAUACCGGAUAAUAUAUUGAACCGCAUGGUUCAAUAGUGAAAGACGGUUUUGCUGUCACUUAUAGAUGGAUCCGCGCCGCAUUAGCUAGUUGGUAAGGUAACGGCUUACCAAGGCAACGAUGCGUAGCCGACCUGAGAGGAUGAUCGGCCACACUGGAACUGAGACACGGUCCAGACUCCUACGGGAGGCAGCAGUAGGGAAUCUUCCGCAAUGGGCGAAAGCCUGACGGAGCAACGCCGCGUGAGUGAUGAAGGUCUUCGGAUCGUAAAACUCUGUUAUUAGGGAAGAACAAAUGUGUAAGUAACUAUGCACGUCUUGACGGUACCUAAUCAGAAAGCCACGGCUAACUACGUG
RNAcentral lists this ribosomal RNA (497 nucleotides) under uncultured bacterium. Its description in RNAcentral is "partial 16S ribosomal RNA". It matches the Rfam family "Bacterial small subunit ribosomal RNA", at positions 28 to 507 of the family's 1533-position model. The record is from RNAcentral.